This 730-nucleotide ribosomal RNA is filed under the name uncultured organism. RNAcentral describes it as "SSU rRNA". It matches the Rfam family "Bacterial small subunit ribosomal RNA", at positions 745 to 1474 of the family's 1533-position model. The record is from RNAcentral.
GCUGAGGCUCGAAAGCGUGGGGAGCAAACAGGAUUAGAUACCUUGGUAGUCCACGCCGUAAACGAUGAGUGCUAAGUGUUGGAGGGUUUCCGCCCUUCAGUGCUGCAGCAAACGCAUUAAGCACUCCGCCUGGGGAGUACGACCGCAAGGUUGAAACUCAAAGGAAUUGACGGGGGCCCGCACAAGCGGUGGAGCAUGUGGUUUAAUUCGAAGCAACGCGAAGAACCUUACCAGGUCUUGACAUCCUUUGACCACUCUAGAGAUAGAGCUUCCCCUUCGGGGGCAAAGUGACAGGUGGUGCAUGGUUGUCGUCAGCUCGUGUCGUGAGAUGUUGGGUUAAGUCCCGCAACGAGCGCAACCCUUAUUGUUAGCUGCCAUCAUUUAGUUGGGCACUCUAGCGAGACUGCCGGUGACAAACCGGAGGAAGGUGGGGAUGACGUCAAAUCAUCAUGCCCCUUAUGACCUGGGCUACACACGUGCUACAAUGGGAAGUACAACGAGUUGCGAAGUCGCGAGGCUAAGCUAAUCUCUUAAAGCUUCUCUCAGUUCGGAUUGUAGGCUGCAACUCGCCUACAUGAAGCCGGAAUCGCUAGUAAUCGCGGAUCAGCACGCCGCGGUGAAUACGUUCCCGGGCCUUGUACACACCGCCCGUCACACCACGAGAGUUUGUAACACCCGAAGUCGGUGAGGUAACCUUUUUGGAGCCAGCCGCCUAAGGUGGGAUAGAUGA